RNAcentral lists this transfer RNA (80 nucleotides) under Typhlotrechus bilimekii. RNAcentral describes it as "transfer RNA-Leu". Lineage: Eukaryota; Metazoa; Arthropoda; Insecta; Coleoptera; Carabidae. The record is from RNAcentral.
UAUUAAAAAUAAAUAUUACUUUGGCAGAUUAGUGUAAUGAAUUUAGAUUUCAUAAAAAUGAGUAUUUUCAUAGGUAAUAC